CCUACGGGUGGCAGCAGUGAGGAAUAUUGGUCAAUGGGCUUACGCCUGAACCAGCCAAGUCGCGUGAGGGAAGACUGCCCUAUGGGUUGUAAACCUCUUUUGUCAGGGAGCAACGCCGGCUACGUGUAGCCGGACUGAGAGUACCUGAAGAAAAAGCAUCGGCUAACUCCGUGCAAGCAGCCGCGGUAAUACGGAGGAUGCGAGCGUUAUCCGGAUUUAUUGGGUUUAAAGGGUGCGUAGGCGGAAUGCCAAGUCAGCGGUAAAAUCGCGGGGCUCAACCUCGCUCCGCCGUUGAAACUGGCGUUCUUGAGUGGGCGAGAAGUAUGCGGAAUGCGUGGUGUAGCGGUGAAAUGCGUAGAUAUUAGGAGGAACAUCAGGGGCGAAGGCGACUUACUGGACUGUAACUGACACUGAGGCACGAAAGCGUGGGGAGCAAACAGGAUUAGAUACCCUGGUAGUC
Molecule: ribosomal RNA, 460 nt
Filed under: uncultured bacterium
Lineage: Bacteria
Description: partial 16S ribosomal RNA
Rfam family: Bacterial small subunit ribosomal RNA
Source: RNAcentral